ACAAGUCGUCCUUGGCUCACC
This 21-nucleotide microRNA is filed under the name Rosa chinensis. RNAcentral describes it as "sRNA RchiOBHm_Chr4g0400005". The record is from RNAcentral. Lineage: Eukaryota; Viridiplantae; Streptophyta; Magnoliopsida; Rosales; Rosaceae.